Molecule: long non-coding RNA, 1647 nt
Filed under: Homo sapiens (human)
Lineage: Eukaryota; Metazoa; Chordata; Mammalia; Primates; Hominidae
Description: HSALNT0366006
Source: RNAcentral
CUCUUUUGCAGUAAAUCUUGCUGCUGCUCACUGUUUGGGUCUACUCUGCCUUUAUGAGGUGUAACACUCAUUGGGAAAAUCUGCAGGUUUACUUCUGAAACCAGCGAGACCACUGAACCAUCGGGAGGAAAAAAAAACUCCAGACGCGCCGCCUUCAGAGUUGUAGCACUCAUCGCGAAGGUCCGCAGUUUCACUCCGGAGCUGGUGAGACCACGAACCUACCAGAAGGAAAAAACUCCGAACACAUCUGAACGUUAGAAGGAACAAACUCCGGACACGCCGCCUUUAAGAACUGUAACCCUCACUGUGAGGGUCUGCGGCUUCAUGCUUGAAGUCAGUGAGACCAAGAACCCACUUACUCUGGGCACACUUUCAUCUCGUUUCCUUUGGUGUUUGAGUUGCAGACUGGUGAACAGAGGCCAAAUCUGGCAGCUACAAUUUGGCCAGUGUGGCAUGAAAAAAUUGAUUUUUGCAGCAGAAGCCCUGAGGCAUGCUGGAGUUUGCCACAGUCUUCCCACUUCUGUCACACCUGGUUUUCUCACAUAUUCGCUUUUGCGUUUGAAUUCAUAAUCUGUGCCCUAGCGGAGAAAGUGAGAACUUUGGGCAGGGGAGGGAACAGGAGCCCUUGGGUGCGACGCAAGGGACAGCAGAGGGCAGUGGUUGGGGGUCCUGGUGCCUCAGAAGGGGUGGUGGUAGCAGGGUUACCACAGGCUCCAGCCUGCUCCGGUGUGGACCUCACACCCUAUGAUGCUAUUCAUCCAUGAAUCCUGGGUCAAGUCUCUCUCCCACCUGGACAUUCUCCCGAAGAAGGGUAGUGGAUACCUCUAAUUUCAGAGCUACAUCUCAAUAGAUGUGUUAACAUCAGCAGCGCCCACGUGGCAGAGUACACCAAAGCUUAAUUGUCUGGGGGGACAGUUGGCCCAAUAGAGAGGCCCACGUGGAAUCCAGGCCUCCCACUAAUGGUCAACAGCAGCAGCUUGCUGCAAGGUGAAUACACUGCGUGGAAAUGUAUCCUCCCAGCUGGCCAAGGCUUCUAGUGGCAGCAGCCCUGGCUGACACAGGGACUACAGCCUUACAGAGGCACUGAGCCAGAAAUGCCCAGCCAAGUGGGCCCCAAAUGCCUGACCCCAGUGAGAGGUGAGAAAUGCAUAUGGUUGUUUUAAGCCGUAAGCUUUGGGGUGAUUUUUUACACAGCAGUAGAUAAUACCUAUCCUUGGAUCCAAUUGCUUGCAGUUCCUUCACCUGGCUGACAGCUGCUGUGGCUGCCGGUGGAAGGCCUCGGCUCCUCUCAUGUGGGCUCUCUGUUGGGUCAAGUGUGCUCCUGGACAGCUGAGCUUUAGCGUGCACUGUGGCCUGUGGGUGCUGUCGUGGCCACUUCCCAGAGCGCGAGAGUCACCCUCUUUGAGAGUCAGGCGUGGCCCCUCUUCAGAGGCGUCCCUCAGCCCCCUCGUGCCCUUCUGCCUGAGCCUCCUGCCUCUCUGCCACAGCCUCACCUCCUCUGACCCCUCCAGAGCCCUCCCCUGACCCUGGGCUCACCCUGUCCUUGCUGUGAGGAGGUGAAGACUGGCUGUGUCUGUCCCUGCCACCUCCGUGCUCGCAUGCCCAGCUUCCUUGCAGGUUCUGCUGCUCAGUGAAGUAACAAGGGCU